AACGCGAAGAACCUUACCAACCUUUGACAUCCCGAUCGCGGGCACCAGAGAUGGAGCCUUUCAGUUCGGCUGGAUCGGAGACAGGUGCUGCAUGGCUGUCGUCAGCUCGUGUCGUGAGAUGUUGGGUUAAGUCCCGCAACGAGCGCAACCCUCGCCCUUAGUUGCCAUCAUUUAGUUGGGCACUCUAAGGGGACUGCCGGUGAUAAGCCGCGAGGAAGGUGGGGAUGACGUCAAGUCCUCAUGGCCCUUACAGGUUGGGCUACACACGUGCUACAAUGGCGGUGACAGAGGGACGCAAGGGAGCAAUCCUUCGCAAAUCUCAAAAAGCCGUCUCAGUUCGGAUUGUGCUCUGCAACUCGAGCACAUGAAGUUGGAAUCGCUAGUAAUCGCAGAUCAGCACGCUGCGGUGAAUACGUUCCCGGGCCUUGUACACACCGCUCGUC
Molecule: ribosomal RNA, 443 nt
Filed under: uncultured bacterium
Lineage: Bacteria
Description: bacterial SSU rRNA
Rfam family: Bacterial small subunit ribosomal RNA
Source: RNAcentral